CUGCCGCACGAGUGGCCUGACGGGUGCGGGGGAAAAUGUUCGAGCGCGAGCCCCCGCGGGGCCACUGGGGAGACGGAGGGCAGAAACGGGGGCCGUUGGAGCCAGCCUAAGCUUGGGUGUAAGCUCUGUCACUCAGAGCUCGGGACUAGGCGCUUUUGGGUGCAAAACGAGUGGCCCACACAACUCCCUGGCUAGAAGAGGCCCGAGUCUGGGAGGGGAGAGAUUUGGAGAAACCGAAUCUCAACUCCAUGAAGUCAGUGACGUGUCUCUUCUCUGCUGUACUCCGGGUGCCUGAAAUGUGCCUGGCAGGAAACUUUCAUUUUGGCCACAUAUGUACCUGUGUGCACGCAGGCAUGUGUGCUUCUGUGAGCAUGCCCUGGAUCUCAAUGCCAAGGAUUUAUGGGAACCAGGGAAGGUCUUCCCACUUGGCUGUAUUAACUACAGGAGGAUCGACCUUCAUGUGAGCACAGCCUGUCCCACCAAACUGGGGCCACAGGUGCCUACUCCAGGAAGCUAAAGAUGGUGGUUUGAGAGCACAGACCCUGGGCUCCGUCAUGGAUCAAAGCUCUGAUUCUCAUCAGCUGCAUAACCCCUUGGAACCUUCUGUGGCCUCUCUAAGCCUCGUGUCUUCAUCUGGAAAGGAGUCAGCUGCAAUGAUAUCUGUCUUUGGGACUGCUG
RNAcentral lists this long non-coding RNA (678 nucleotides) under Sus scrofa (pig). RNAcentral describes it as "lncRNA (ENSSSCG00050011914.1)". The record is from RNAcentral. Lineage: Eukaryota; Metazoa; Chordata; Mammalia; Artiodactyla; Suidae.